This 283-nucleotide long non-coding RNA is filed under the name Calidris pugnax (ruff). RNAcentral describes it as "lncRNA (ENSCPUG00000016441.1)". Lineage: Eukaryota; Metazoa; Chordata; Aves; Charadriiformes; Scolopacidae. The record is from RNAcentral.
AUGAAUCAGAGGGAAUUUUCAUUCAAAGAUUUCUAUGCCUUUUUCAAGCAUCAGCCAGCAAGGCCUAGAAAUACUCUGACAAUACAGGACAGCAAUGUGGAGUCCAGACCUCCUUGGUGACAGCAUGGCCAUACUGACCUCUGCAACAGAAGAUGGGCAACAGAACUUAAAGCAGUAGCUGUACCUGCACAGCAAAAUACAUCUUAAUGUAAGUAACAUUCAGCCCCCAAAUUUGCUCCCCGCUUUGUUUUUUUAAUAACUCUGCACUAGAUCCCGUGUUAUU